RNAcentral lists this ribosomal RNA (727 nucleotides) under Meloidogyne sp. DHR-2019. RNAcentral describes it as "partial large subunit ribosomal RNA". It matches the Rfam family "Eukaryotic large subunit ribosomal RNA", at positions 356 to 944 of the family's 3401-position model. Lineage: Eukaryota; Metazoa; Nematoda; Chromadorea; Rhabditida; Meloidogynidae. The record is from RNAcentral.
AGGGAAAGUUGCAAAGCACUUUGAAGAGAGAGUUAAAGAGGACGUGAAACCGGUAAGGUGGAAACGGAUAGAGUCGGCGUAUCAUUCAAUUAUUCAGUUACAUUAUUUUUAUGUUGUGACCUCUGAGCUCCAGAUUGGGACAGAGGGAAUCAGCAUAAUUUUUUGUGGUGCAUUUACUUGAUUGGUGCUUGGGGAUGUUUGAGGCAGAUUUGUUUCCGUCGUUUUGAGGCCAGCUUGCUGGUACCCAAACGGUGUUAGCAUUUUUUGUCUUGGGCAUUUGAGUAUGGCUCACGUGUAUUUAUUGGACAGAUCUGAGUGUAAGUUACGGUCGCAUGCGACACGUGCUUUUCAAUUAGUUCGGUCCAGUUAAUGCUCUCGUACUCGUUCCCCAUGUAAAAGCCGGUCAUCUAUCCGACCCGUCUUGAAACACGGACCAAGGAGUUUAUCGUGUGCGCAAGUUUUUGGGUGUUAAAAACUUAAAAGCGAAAUGAAAGUAAAUGACUCUUUAGAGUCUGAUGUGCGAUCUUGUAAAAAAGUGUAGCAUGGCCCCAUUCUAACUGUUUACAGUAGGGUGGCGGAAGAGCGUACGCGGUGAGACCCGAAAGAUGGUGAACUAUUCCUGAGCAGGACGAAGCCAGAGGAAACUCUGGUGGAAGUCCGAAGCGGUUCUGACGUGCAAAUCGAUCGUCUGACUUGGGUAUAGGGGCGAAAGACUAAUCGAACCAUC